RNAcentral lists this ribosomal RNA (394 nucleotides) under uncultured bacterium. Its description in RNAcentral is "bacterial SSU rRNA". It matches the Rfam family "Bacterial small subunit ribosomal RNA", at positions 445 to 842 of the family's 1533-position model. The record is from RNAcentral.
GAGAGUAACUGUUCACGCAGUGACGGUAUCCAACCAGAAAGUCACGGCUAACUACGUGCCAGCAGCCGCGGUAAUACGUAGGUGGCAAGCGUUAUCCGGAUUUAUUGGGCGUAAAGCGAGCGCAGGCGGUUGCUUAGGUCUGAUGUGAAAGCCUUCGGCUUAACCGAAGAAGUGCAUCGGAAACCGGGCGACUUGAGUGCAGAAGAGGACAGUGGAACUCCAUGUGUAGCGGUGGAAUGCGUAGAUAUAUGGAAGAACACCAGUGGCGAAGGCGGCUGUCUGGUCUGCAACUGACGCUGAGGCUCGAAAGCAUGGGUAGCGAACAGGAUUAGAUACCCUGGUAGUCCAUGCCGUAAACGAUGAGUGCUAGGUGUUGGAGGGUUUCCGCCCUUCA